UGUAAUGGACCACCAAGGCGACGAUGGUUAGCUGGUCUGAGAGGAUGAUCAGCCACACUGGAACUGNNNCACGGUCCAGACUCCUACGGGAGGCAGCAGUGGGGAAUUUUGCGCAANNNNNGAAACCCUGACGCAGCAACGCCGCGUGAGUGAUGAAGGCCUUCGGGUCGUAAAGCUCUGUCAGUGGGGAAGAAAUGGAACGUGUUAAUAUCACGUUUUCUUGACGGUACCCACAAAGGNNNCACCGGCUAACUCCGUGCCAGCAGCCGCGGUAAUACGGAGGGUGCAAGCGUUGUUCGGAUUUAUUGGGCGUAAAGCGCGUGUAGGCGGUUUCUUAAGUCUGAUGUGAAAGCCCCGGGCUCAACCCGGGAAGUGCAUUGGAUACUGGGAGACUUGAAUACGGGAGAGGGUAGUGGAAUUCCUAGUGUAGGAGUGAAAUCCGUAGAUAUUAGGAGGAACACCGGUGGCGAAGGCGGCUACCUGGACCGAUAUUGACGCUGAGACGCGAAAGCGUGGGGAGCAAACAGGAUUAGAUACCCUGGUAGUCCACGCCGUAAACGAUGAGAACUAGGUGUUGCGGGUAUUGACCCCUGCAGUGCCGCAGCUAACGCAUUAAGUUCUCCGCCUGGGAAGUACGGUCGCAAGACUA
Molecule: ribosomal RNA, 649 nt
Filed under: uncultured Pseudomonadota bacterium
Lineage: Bacteria; Pseudomonadati; Pseudomonadota
Description: bacterial SSU rRNA
Rfam family: Bacterial small subunit ribosomal RNA
Source: RNAcentral